UUGAUUCAGGCAAAAGAAAAUAAGAGUUGCUCAUAAAAGUGGUGUACUGCAUGUCAUGAAAAAAGGAAGCAGCUGUAAACUGUUUACCAGAGUAAUUGUUUGAGCUGGUGGAGCUGGAAUUUCCUCCCAUAUUUUCCUCAGACUCUAACCGACCCUGUAUUUUGUCUAGAUCGGAAGAGAGU
Molecule: long non-coding RNA, 182 nt
Organism: Austrofundulus limnaeus
Lineage: Eukaryota; Metazoa; Chordata; Actinopteri; Cyprinodontiformes; Rivulidae
Exons: 3
Source: RefSeq, a predicted model, not a curated record